Molecule: long non-coding RNA, 415 nt
Organism: Acanthochromis polyacanthus (spiny chromis)
Lineage: Eukaryota; Metazoa; Chordata; Actinopteri; Pomacentridae
Exons: 3
Source: RefSeq, a predicted model, not a curated record
CACACACUUUUAUUCCAUAUUUAAAACACAGGCAUACACCAAAAGGACCUGGACUCAAAACCAGUUCAAACCUUCAUGUAAGUUCUUCUUAUUUUUAAUCCAUUUUUAUUUCAUGCAUAAAGGUACAGUUAAAUGUAACUGAACUUUAUGUUAACUACCAAAAACACAAGCACUUGUGAAUUUUGAUUUCAUCACAUCCUUUUUUGGUCAAGCAAAAAUAUAAAAUGAUGAAAUUGCUUGUUAUGUAAAUAAAGUACAGAGAACAUUGCAGCCAAAAGGUACAGUUGAUGUCUGAGCUGCUGGGUGAAAAAGGGACAAUUUACAGUUAAAUUCAUUAAAAGGAUGUAAGGUGCAGGAUAAACUAGACAAUAUGGAGAGAUGAACCACAGUAGAGUAAGACUGCAGCAAACAGGAC